This is a long non-coding RNA of Vicia villosa (hairy vetch), 1820 nucleotides long. RefSeq lists it as uncharacterized. The transcript has 4 exons. The record is from RefSeq and is a predicted model, not a curated record. NCBI's taxonomy places the organism in Eukaryota, Viridiplantae, Streptophyta, Magnoliopsida, Fabales, Fabaceae.
ACCAAGUUUAUUAACACCAAAUUAAUUAGCAAAAAUAAAAUGCACAAUUAGAAGAGAGUUAGGUUUACGUGAGGAACUCAGCUUCUUCCUCUCCUCUUCACGAGACCGACGGUGAUUUCGUUUUCCUUCUCCGGCCAAUUCCGCCGCUCUCCACCGUAACAGAAAGAACCAAAUCCUCAUCUUCUCGCCUUGCUCUCAAUCUUAGAUUUCCUUCCCAAUCUAACUCUCUCCGAUCUCAGUUCUUGCUCAAUCUCAAACAUGCGGUGCGUUUCCGAUUACGUUGUUGUGGUUAUCGAAUUGGUGUAAAUCGAAAGAUGAUUGUAGAUGCGUGAUGAAGAUGAAGCGAUGAUCGAAGCCAUGAACGGGAAGAUAGAAAUCAGACGCACGGAACUUGUCAACAAUGGCGAAGAGGAUGCGUAUCGUUGGAGGUUGACGCCAUUUCAUUAGGUUCUUGGAUGAAGAAGCGGAUUGAAGCGUGAAGGAGAUGGAGGAUUCAGGCUCGAGAGAGAAAGAUGAUGAAAUUGGUGUCAAGAUGAAGAUGAGCAAUGAAGUCCUCAGAUCGAAAAAAUUCAAGGUGGUGAAGAUUCAGAAGUUGAUUAAAGUUGUCGAUUCAGAAAAAGGAUUGAGAGAGAUUCGAUGAUGAAGAUGAUGAGAGAAAGAUUACGUUUCUGUUUUCUCUUUUGCAGGUCUUGUGAUUUUUUCUGUUGAAUUCGGGAUGGAUGCGUGGGUGAUUGAGAGUGAUGAAGAAGGGUUAUUGUGAAGUCAAGAUUAAAUAAAGAACUUUUUUUUUGAUGAAGACAAAUCUCUAAAUAACAAGAAGGCAAAGAUGAGUUGUUAAAAUAUCAAUGAUCAAGGCUUUGGAAUCAAGCUUGCACUUCAAGAAGGUAUAAUGACUAUAAUUACAUUCUCUAAAAGUCUUAGAUGCUCAAGAAAUCAACCAACCAUUGCAUAGACCAUCCAUGAUAAUAGCAAACAUUUGCAAAAUCUUUUAUUCAAGUUUUACACUGGGUAAAUCGAUUUACCAUAACAUGAAAUCGAUUUGCCACUGUCUUAAAACAUUUCCAAAAGCAAAAAUUCACUUUUUGCACUAUGGAAAUCGAUUUACCUAAAGAGGAAAUCGAUUUCCCACUGAUUGUUUUUGAAAUUUUGUUAACGUUACAUGCAUGAAAUCAAUUUCAUGCUAAGGGAAAUCGAUUUCCCCUGUACGUUUUUUGAAAAACAGCAGCAUUUCAUAGCACCUUUCCACACACCUUUUCAUGGAAACAUUUCCUUUAAUCUUGGCAAUUGUUCAUGAUUAAUCUACAAAAACUUAUGAUAUUUCAAGGGGUGUUAUGAACAUCUAUAUAUACUCAAAAUUUCAAAAUUCAUUCUUCACCUCUUCCAAUCAAAAACUCUUAGAAAUUUUCAGAAAUUCACAUUGUUUUUCUUCAAUCUUUUUCAAGAUAUUUUCUACACACUUUCAUAUCAUCCAAACUAGAAAAUAUUUUGAGCAAUCUAUUACUUUAAAGAAUUGUGAAUUAUUAUCAUUGGAAGGGAAGAUCAAUCAAGUGAUUGAUACAUUGUUCUACUAUUCAAACUCUUAUACAAAAUCAAAUACUUGUUGUAUUCUUGUUAUCCAGGAUUGUUGGAAACAAGUUAGACACUUUGAGAGGAUUGUUCUCAUAAGUGGUCUUAGUGAAAAAUCCAAGAGGAUUGUUCUUGGUCCAAGAGGAUUGUUCUUGGUGUUUGGUUAGGCUUGUACAAGAUACCAAUUAUAUUGAAAUCUCUUACUGCGUAAGGGGACUGGAGUACCCUCGGUUUGUGAGGGGAACCAGGAUAUA